UAGUCCACACCGUAAACGAUGAGAGCUAGUUGUCUGCAAGCAUGCUUGUAGGUGACGCAGCUAACGCAUUAAGCUCUCCGCCUGGGAAGUACGAUCGCAAGGUUAAAACUCAAAGGAAUUGACGGGGACCCGCACAAGCGGUGGAACAUGUGGUUUAAUUCGAUGCUACGCGAAAAACCUUACCAAGUCUUGACAUAAUAGUCGUACGGUUAAGAAACUAACUGGUCAGCUCGGCUGGACUAUUACAGGUGUUGCAUGGCUGUCGUCAGCUCGUGUCGUGAGAUGUUGGGUUAAGUCCCGCAACGAGCGCAACCCUUGUCUUUAGUUGCCAUCAUUUAGUUGGGCACUCUAGAGAAACUGCCGGUGACAAACCGGAGGAAGGUAAGGAUGACGUCAAGUCAGCAUGCCCCUUACGCUCUGGGCUACACACGUGCUACAAUGGUCGUGACAAAGAGUUGCUAGUCUGCGAAGGCAAGCCAAUCUCAUAAACG
RNAcentral lists this ribosomal RNA (491 nucleotides) under uncultured bacterium. RNAcentral describes it as "bacterial SSU rRNA". It matches the Rfam family "Bacterial small subunit ribosomal RNA", at positions 791 to 1282 of the family's 1533-position model. The record is from RNAcentral.